This 373-nucleotide unclassified non-coding RNA is filed under the name soil metagenome. Its description in RNAcentral is "partial contains 5.8S ribosomal RNA, internal transcribed spacer 2, and large subunit ribosomal RNA". The stretch from base 1 to 121 matches the Rfam family "5.8S ribosomal RNA", at positions 35 to 154 of the family's 154-position model. The record is from RNAcentral.
GAUGAAGAACGUAGCGAAAUGCGAUAAGUAAUGCGAAUUGCAGAAUUCCAGUGAGUCAUCGAAUCUUUGAACGCACAUUGCGCCCUUUGGUAUUCCGAAGGGCAUGCCUGUUCGAGCGUCAUUAUCACCCCUCAAGCCCUCGGCUUGGUGUUGGACGGUUUGGUGGAGGCCCCCUCGGGGGUUCCUGCCCCUCCCAAAGACAAUGACGGCGGCCUCGUUGGACCCCCGGUACACUGAGUUCUUCACGGGACACGUAUCGGACCCAUGGGUUUACGGGACACGGUCUGCCUCCCCUCAGGGAGAAUCUUUCUAAGGUUGACCUCGGAUCAGGUAGGGAUACCCGCUGAACUUAAGCAUAUCAAUAAGCGGAGGA